This 653-nucleotide long non-coding RNA is filed under the name Mytilus galloprovincialis (Mediterranean mussel). The record is from RNAcentral. Lineage: Eukaryota; Metazoa; Mollusca; Bivalvia; Mytilida; Mytilidae.
UUGUCACUCAACCCUUUAUUAUGUUAAUCACAUGUAUAAACUUCAAUUCUAGUAAGUGUUUUAAUGUGUAUAGGACAAACACUUUUAUCAUACAACCCUUAACCAUAUUCAUACGACACAUAUAUAUUAAUUUUUAUGUUUUGUAUGUGUACUUAUAUCAGGUAUAUGUCAUUUAUGUAUACAAAAAACAGGUGUACUAAACUGUUCAUUAUAAUGAUAAUCACAUAUUAAUGCAUAUGUUCCUGGUUGUGUUCUAAUUGUAAUCACACACAUACACAUGAUACACCAUGUUGGUGUACACAUAUAUGAUUUCUUCAGGUCUUUGACUAAUAAAUAUCUUACUACACAUUAUGUGCAUUUGAAGCUUCAACUGUUGAAUGCUUAUGUUCAAACACUAACUUCUUCGCCAAUAAUACAAGUUCACAUAUCUAACUGUUUUCGUUUAGGUUUUUUAUUACUAAAUAUCUGAUUACACAAUCUGUGCAUUUGUAACUUCGACUGUAUGGACUGCAGAAUAUUUAUGUUCAAACACACACUACUUCACAAAAAAUACAAGUACACAUAUCUACGUGUUGUUCUUCAGGUCUUUGACUAUUAAGGGAGCUACCAUUUGAUUUUUAUGGGGGGGGGCUAGGAUGAAAUUUGAAAAAAAU